This is a long non-coding RNA of Cylas formicarius (sweet potato weevil), 1520 nucleotides long. RefSeq lists it as uncharacterized. The transcript is spliced from 3 exons. NCBI's taxonomy places the organism in Eukaryota, Metazoa, Arthropoda, Insecta, Coleoptera, Brentidae. The record is from RefSeq and is a predicted model, not a curated record.
UUGUGUAUUUGCUGGCAAUCCGGGCCUGCUUGGAUCAUUUUGGAAGAUACAUACGCCUGCGCUUUUCAAAGCGGACAGACGUGCCCGUGUCCCACUUGACAAAGGCGGAAUUAUUUUAGGAAAGACCAUGGCAACUAGUAAAGCAGAAUCCGAGAAUUCAAUCGGCGGCUGUAUGUUGACUGACAAGAAUAUAAUUGCUGUUAAUCCGGCCCUGCUUCUUGUACAAAUGCAUAGUGGGGAGACAUGAACAUUUUUCGAAAAUGCGGCCCUAUCCUCUUGGGAUUCUACGUUGGACAAAUUCUGAAAACGACCCAGAAAUAUAAUUGGAGGUUCAAACCCGUGCGAGGUGAGGUUUGAUAUAUGAAACAGACCAGUCAUGGGGACACGAGAUAUGGAAAGUUUCAGCGUAGUCGUCGCCACAUUGCUGCCAACACUGCAUAUAUAAGGAAUCACGAACCAUUCAGGUAAAAUUUUGAAAACACAUAGUUAUGGCAAUAUAGAACCUCUCUUUUUUUAACAGGAAUAUUGAGACUUAGACCAGUAUCUUUUAAGUAGGCAUGUGGGGUAAAGAAGACGCAGAAGCUUCACUCGGGUACCGUCGGUAACGUAGGCGAUUGAUAUAUUUCCACCACUACAUAUGUUGGAUUGGAAUUUCCCAUUUGAUGCUUUGACUGACUAAAUGAGGAAACUUGGAGGUAAGCUCUUACGGAAUUCUAUCGAAAUAUGUUUAGUAACAUAUUGGUGCAUUACUCUGUCUUCCAGUCAGUUUCACAUAAACUUUGCACGUAUUAUAGAAAUCCCACCUACUUUUUUUUGUGUUAAUAUUAUUGAAAGUAGUAGCUGGUAGCUGUAGUCAUAAGCCCAGAGAGUCUCUGUUUUGAACAUAAUACACAAAAUGGGGCGUUCAAAAACAAUAGACUGCAUGCCUUUUAGAGUCGGCGUAAACUAUGGUCAUAUACCCCUGAUCAAAUUCAGAACUAGAAAAUCGUUGUGUCUCUGCAUUAAAAAUAAUAGUAAAAUUUAUUGUAGGCACCUAGUAGAGUAUCGAAAAUUUCCAUUUUUAGUGCCAAAUUGGUUACUCCAGUAAAUUCCAACUGUUCUAAUUUUUUUUUAAUAAUUUAUGAUGUUAGUGAGUUUCAUUGCAAUUAUUUGUUACUUAAAUUUUCUACGUAUUAAACCUUAAUUAACAAUACGUUAUUCGUUAACGCAGGUAGAAUUAAUGACGCUAACUGACCUGAUUUUGUCCAGGGGGGCGUAGUACGGUAGUUUGUACUGUGAUGUUUGGUAGUUUGGCAGUGAGCUCUCAUUUAUGAAACUGGGGAAUGUUUCGUUAUCUUCAAAUCGUAAACACGUAUCAUUAGAAUUAUAUUUUUAAAAUAUUGAUUAGGACAUGUACUAAGUAACUAAAUGUUCUAGCGAAAAUAUUCACACAUAUUGCGGAAAACGUACAAAUUUAAAUUAGAGAAAAUUAACUAUUUUUAGAGGUUGGUUUUUCAAAAAGGUGGGGAUUUAGUUAGAGA